This 128-nucleotide transfer RNA is filed under the name Leptolyngbyaceae cyanobacterium MO_188.B28. Its description in RNAcentral is "tRNA-OTHER". It matches the Rfam family "tRNA". Rfam says of the family: Transfer RNA (tRNA) molecules are approximately 80 nucleotides in length. Their secondary structure includes four short double-helical elements and three loops (D, anti-codon, and T loops). The record is from RNAcentral. RNAcentral also lists the same sequence under 1 other name. Lineage: Bacteria; Bacillati; Cyanobacteriota; Cyanophyceae; Leptolyngbyales; Leptolyngbyaceae.
GGGCGGGUAGCUCAGAUGGUAGAGCGCCAAAAACAUCCUUGUUCACCCCUUGCCUGUAAAGGCCGAAGAAUGAGGGUUAUCGCCUCUUAAGCGGGAGGUCGAGGGUUCGAGUCCCUCCCCGCCCACCA